UGGGGGAUAUUGCACAAUGGGCGCAAGCCUGAUGCAGCGACGCCGCGUGGGGGAUGAAGGCCUUCGGGUUGUAAACUUCUUUUGCUCUGAACAAGGCGCACUUUGGGGUGUGUUGAGUGUAGGGGUUGAUUAGCGCCGGCUAACUACGUGCCAGCAGCCGCGGUAAUACGUAGGGCGCGAGCGUUGUCCGGAAUUAUUGGGCGUAAAGGGCUUGUAGGUGGCUGGUUGCGUCUGUCGUGAAAGCUCAUGGCUUAACUGUGGGUUUGCGGUGGGUACGGGCUGGCUUGAGUGCAGUAGGGGAGGCUGGAAUUCCGGGUGUAGCGGUGGAAUGCGCAGAUAUCAGGAGGAAUACCGGUGGCGAAGGCGGGUCUCUGGGCUGUUACUGACACUGAGGAGCGAAAGCAUGGGGAGCGAACAGG
Molecule: ribosomal RNA, 419 nt
Filed under: bacterium
Lineage: Bacteria
Description: partial 16S ribosomal RNA
Rfam family: Bacterial small subunit ribosomal RNA
Source: RNAcentral